UCCUCCAAGGCUAAAUACUCCUGACUGACCGAUAGUGAACCAGUACCGUGAGGGAAAGGCGAAAAGAACCCCGGCGAGGGGAGUGAAAAAGAACCUGAAACCGUGUACGUACAAGCAGUGGGAGCACGCUUAGGCGUGUGACUGCGUACCUUUUGUAUAAUGGGUCAGCGACUUAUAUUCUGUAGCAAGGUUAACCGAAUAGGGGAGCCGAAGGGAAACCGAGUCUUAACUGGGCGUUAAGUUGCAGGGUAUAGACCCGAAACCCGGUGAUCUAGCCAUGGGCAGGUUGAAGGUUGGGUAACACUAACUGGAGGACCGAACCGACUAAUGUUGAAAAAUUAGCGGAUGACUUGUGGCUGGGGGUGAAAGGCCAAUCAAACCGGGAGAUAGCUGGUUCUCCCCGAAAGCUAUUUAGGUAGCGCCUCGUGAAUUCAUCUCCGGGGGUAGAGCACUGUUUCGGCAAGGGGGUCAUCCCGACUUACCAACCCGAUGCAAACUGCGAAUACCGGAGAAUGUUAUCACGGGAGACACACGGCGGGUGCUAACGUCCGUCGUGAAGAGGGAAACAACCCAGACCGCCAGCUAAGGUCCCAAAGUCAUGGUUAAGUGGGAAACGAUGUGGGAAGGCCCAGACAGCCAGGAUGUUGGCUUAGAAGCAGCCAUCAUUUAAAGAAAGCGUAAUAGCUCACUGGUCGAGUCGGCCUGCGCGGAAGAUGUAACGGGGCUAAACCAUGCACCGAAGCUGCGGCAGCGACGCUUAUGCGUUGUUGGGUAGGGGAGCGUUCUGUAAGCCUGCGAAGGUGUGCUGUGAGGCAUGCUGGAGGUAUCAGAAGUGCGAAUGCUGACAUAAGUAACGAUAAAGCGGGUGAAAAGCCCGCUCGCCGGAAGACCAAGGGUUCCUGUCCAACGUUAAUCGGGGCAGGGUGAGUCGACCCCUAAGGCGAGGCCGAAAGGCGUAGUCGAUGGGAAACAGGUUAAUAUUCCUGUACUUGGUGUUACUGCGAAGGGGGGACGGAGAAGGCUAUGUUGGCCGGGCGACGGUUGUCCCGGUUUAAGCGUGUAGGCUGGUUUUCCAGGCAAAUCCGGAAAAUCAAGGCUGAGGCGUGAUGACGAGGCACUACGGUGCUGAAGCAACAAAUGCCCUGCUUCCAGGAAAAGCCUCUAAGCAUCAGGUAACAUCAAAUCGUACCCCAAACCGACACAGGUGGUCAGGUAGAGAAUACCAAGGCGCUUGAGAGAACUCGGGUGAAGGAACUAGGCAAAAUGGUGCCGUAACUUCGGGAGAAGGCACGCUGAUAUGUAGGUGAAGUCCCUUGCGGAUGGAGCUGAAAUCAGUCGAAGAUACCAGCUGGCUGCAACUGUUUAUUAAAAACACAGCACUGUGCAAACACGAAAGUGGACGUAUACGGUGUGACGCCUGCCCGGUGCCGGAAGGUUAAUUGAUGGGGUCAGCGCAAGCGAAGCUCUUGAUCGAAGCCCCGGUAAACGGCGGCCGUAACUAUAACGGUCCUAAGGUAGCGAAAUUCCUUGUCGGGUAAGUUCCGACCUGCACGAAUGGCGUAAUGAUGGCCAGGCUGUCUCCACCCGAGACUCAGUGAAAUUGAACUCGCUGUGAAGAUGCAGUGUACCCGCGGCAAGACGGAAAGACCCCGUGAACCUUUACUAUAGCUUGACACUGAACAUUGAGCCUUGAUGUGUAGGAUAGGUGGGAGGCUUUGAAGUGUGGACGCCAGUCUGCAUGGAGCCGGCCUUGAAAUACCACCCUUUAAUGUUUGAUGUUCUAACGUGGACCCGUGAUCCGGGUUGCGGACAGUGUCUGGUGGGUAGUUUGACUGGGGCGGUCUCCUCCUAAAGAGUAACGGAGGAGCACGAAGGUUGGCUAAUCCUGGUCGGACAUCAGGAGGUUAGUGCAAUGGCAUAAGCCAGCUUGACUGCGAGCGUGACGGCGCGAGCAGGUGCGAAAGCAGGUCAUAGUGAUCCGGUGGUUCUGAAUGGAAGGGCCAUCGCUCAACGGAUAAAAGGUACUCCGGGGAUAACAGGCUGAUACCGCCCAAGAGUUCAUAUCGACGGCGGUGUUUGGCACCUCGAUGUCGGCUCAUCACAUCCUGGGGCUGAAGUAGGUCCCAAGGGUAUGGCUGUUCGCCAUUUAAAGUGGUACGCGAGCUGGGUUUAGAACGUCGUGAGACAGUUC
Molecule: ribosomal RNA, 2191 nt
Filed under: Shigella sonnei
Lineage: Bacteria; Pseudomonadati; Pseudomonadota; Gammaproteobacteria; Enterobacterales; Enterobacteriaceae
Description: partial 23S ribosomal RNA
Rfam family: Bacterial large subunit ribosomal RNA
Source: RNAcentral